This is a long non-coding RNA of Oncorhynchus keta (chum salmon), 378 nucleotides long. RefSeq lists it as uncharacterized. The transcript has 5 exons. The record is from RefSeq and is a predicted model, not a curated record. NCBI's taxonomy places the organism in Eukaryota, Metazoa, Chordata, Actinopteri, Salmoniformes, Salmonidae.
AAUGGUUUGACCAGGCGGUAUAACGAUGAUUUCAAAUGGUUUGACCAGGCGGUAUAACGAUGAUUUCAAAUGGUUUGACCAGGUGGUAUAACGAUGAUUUAAAAUGGUUUGACCAGGUGGUAUAACGAUGAUUUCAAAUGGUUUGACCAGGUGGUAUAACGAUGAUUUCAAAUGGUUUGACCAGGUGGUAUAACGAUGAUUUCAAAUGGUUUGACCAGGUGGUAUAACGAUGAUUUCAAAUGGUUUGACCGUCCAGAUCUGUUUACACUUGAUAUCCAGACACAAUCUGACCUUCAGAGGUGGUCAGGAAGAUCUGAUCGCAAUCAGAUCACAAUGCAACUUCUAAAAACAUCUACACCAGCUUAAACGGGACAAGAU